GGGUUGUGAGGUUAAGCGACUAAGCGUACACGGUGGAUGCCCUGGCAGUCAGAGGCGAUGAAGGACGUGCUAAUCUGCGAUAAGCGUCGGUAAGGUGAUAUGAACCGUUAUAACCGGCGAUUUCCGAAUGGGGAAACCCAGUGUGUUUCGACACACUAUCAUUAACUGAAUCCAUAGGUUAAUGAGGCGAACCGGGGGAACUGAAACAUCUAAGUACCCCGAGGAAAAGAAAUCAACCGAGAUUCCCCCAGUAGCGGCGAGCGAACGGGGAGGAGCCCAGAGCCUGAAUCAGUGUGUGUGUUA
This 303-nucleotide ribosomal RNA is filed under the name Escherichia coli. Its description in RNAcentral is "partial 23S ribosomal RNA". It matches the Rfam family "Bacterial large subunit ribosomal RNA", at positions 1 to 291 of the family's 2925-position model. Lineage: Bacteria; Pseudomonadati; Pseudomonadota; Gammaproteobacteria; Enterobacterales; Enterobacteriaceae. The record is from RNAcentral.